RNAcentral lists this ribosomal RNA (301 nucleotides) under uncultured bacterium. RNAcentral describes it as "partial 16S ribosomal RNA". It matches the Rfam family "Bacterial small subunit ribosomal RNA", at positions 509 to 807 of the family's 1533-position model. The record is from RNAcentral.
CAGCCGCCGCGGUAAUACGAAGGGUGCAAGCGUUACUCGGAAUUACUGGGCGUAAAGCGUGCGUAGGUGGUGGUUUAAGUCCGUUGUGAAAGCCCUGGGCUCAACCUGGGAAUUGCAGUGGACACUGGGUCACUAGAGUGUGGUAGAGGAUAGUGGAAUUUCCGGUGUAGCAGUGAAAUGCGUAGAGAUCGGAAGGAACAUCUGUGGCGAAGGCGACUAUCUGGGCCAACACUGACACUGAGGCACGAAAGCGUGGGGAGCAAACAGGAUUAGAUACCCGGGUAGUCCCUGUCUCUUAUAC